Molecule: ribosomal RNA, 279 nt
Filed under: uncultured bacterium
Lineage: Bacteria
Description: partial 16S ribosomal RNA
Rfam family: Bacterial small subunit ribosomal RNA
Source: RNAcentral
UGCCAGCCGCCGCGGUAAUACGAAGGGUGCUAGCGUUGUUCGGAAUUAUUGGGCGUAAAGAGCAUGUAGGCGGACUAUUAGGUCUGGCGUGAAAGCUCGGGGCUCAACCCCGGAAGUGCACUUGAAACAGCAAGACCUGAAUACGGUAGAGGAGAGAGGAAUUCCUGGUGUAGAGGUGAAAUUCGUAGAUAUCAGGAGGAACAUCAGUGGCGAAGGCGAGUUUCUGGACGAUUCCUGACACUGAGGCACGAAGGCUAGGGGAGCGAACCGGAUUAGAUA